UAUAACACUUCGGUGCAUUCCUA
Molecule: non-coding RNA, 23 nt
Filed under: Arabidopsis thaliana (thale cress)
Lineage: Eukaryota; Viridiplantae; Streptophyta; Magnoliopsida; Brassicales; Brassicaceae
Source: RNAcentral